RNAcentral lists this ribosomal RNA (376 nucleotides) under uncultured bacterium. Its description in RNAcentral is "bacterial SSU rRNA". It matches the Rfam family "Bacterial small subunit ribosomal RNA", at positions 524 to 898 of the family's 1533-position model. The record is from RNAcentral.
UACGGAGGUUCCUAGCGUUGUUCGGAUUUACUGGGCGUAAAGGGAGCGCAGGCGGAUGGGUCAGUGAAAAGUGGAAUUCCGGAGCUUAACUUCGGACGUGCUUUUCAUACUGCCCGUCUUGAGUUCGCGAGAGGAAGGCGGAAUUCAGGGUGUAGCGGUGAAAUGCUUAGAUAUCCUGAGGAACACCGGUGGCGAAAGCGGUCUUCUGGCGCGAUACUGACGCUGAGGCUCGAAAGCGUGGGGAGCGAACGGGAUUAGAUACCCCGGUAGUCCACGCUGUAAACGUUGUGCACUAGGUGUGUGAGGUAUCGACCCCUUACGUGCCGCAGCAAACGCAUUAAGUGCACCGCCUGGGGAGUACGGUCGCAAGACUGAA